UAUCGGAUUGAUACUAAGCCAUGCGAGUCAUUGUAGCAAUACAAGGCAUACGGCUCAGUAACGCGUAGUCAACCUAACCUAUGGACGGGAAUAACCUCGGGAAACUGAGAAUAAUGCCCGAUAGAACAUUAUGCCUGGAAUGGUUUAUGUUCCAAAUGAUUUAUCGCCGUAGGAUGGGACUGCGGCCUAUCAGUUUGUUGGUGAGGUAAUGGCCCACCAAGACUAUUACAGGUACGGGCUCUGAGAGGAGUAGCCCGGAGAUGGGUACUGAGACACGGACCCAGGCCCUAUGGGGCGCAGCAGGCGAGAAAACUUUGCAAUGUGCGAAAGCACGACAAGGUUAAUCCGAGUGGUUUCUGCUAAAGGAACCUUUUGUCAGUCCUAGAAACACUGAUGAAUAAGGGGUGGGCAAGUUCUGGUGUCAGCCGCCGCGGUAAAACCAGCACCUCAAGUGGUCAGGAUGAUUAUUGGGCCUAAAGCAUCCGUAGCCGGCUCUGUAAGUUUUCGGUUAAAUCUGUACGCUCAACGUACAGGCUGCCGGGAAUACUGCAAAGCUAGGGAGUGGGAGAGGUAGACGGUACUCGGUAGGAAGGGGUAAAAUCCUUUGAUCUAUUGAUGACCACCUGUGGCGAAGGCGGUCUACUAGAACACGUCCGACGGUGAGGGAUGAAAGCUGGGGGAGCAAACCGGAUUAGAUACCCGGGUAGUCCCAGCUGUAAACCAUGCAAACUCAGUGAUGCAUUGGCUUGUGGCCAAUGCAGUGCUGCAGGGAAGCCGUUAAGUUUGCCGCCUGGGAAGUACGUACGCAAGUAUGAAACUUAAAGGAAUUGGCGGGGGAGCACCACAAGGGGUGAAGCCUGCGGUUCAAUUGGAUUC
This 876-nucleotide ribosomal RNA is filed under the name uncultured archaeon. Its description in RNAcentral is "bacterial SSU rRNA". It matches the Rfam family "Archaeal small subunit ribosomal RNA", at positions 31 to 913 of the family's 1478-position model. The record is from RNAcentral.